This 549-nucleotide ribosomal RNA is filed under the name uncultured bacterium. Its description in RNAcentral is "bacterial SSU rRNA". It matches the Rfam family "Bacterial small subunit ribosomal RNA", at positions 108 to 689 of the family's 1533-position model. The record is from RNAcentral.
GAGUAACACGUGACUAACCUACCUCCGAGUGGGGAAUAACUCCGGGAAACCGGGGCUAAUACCGCAUAACAUCGCAAGAUCAAAGCAGCAAUGCGCUUAGAGAGGGGGUCGCGGCUGAUUAGCUAGUUGGCGGGGUAACGGCCCACCAAGGCGAAGAUCGGUAUCCGGCCUGAGAGGGCGCACGGACACACUGGAACUGAAACACGGUCCAGACUCCUACGGGAGGCAGCAGUGGGGAAUUUUGCGCAAUGGGGGAAACCCUGACGCAGCAACGCCGCGUGGAGGAUGAAGCCCUUUGGGGCGUAAACUCCUUUCGACUCGGACGAUUAUGACGGUACGAGUGGAAGAAGCACCGGCUAACUCUGUGCCAGCAGCCGCGGUAAUACAGAGGGUGCGAGCGUUGUUCGGAAUUAUUGGGCGUAAAGGGCGCGUAGGCGGUGCGGUAAGUCACCUGUGAAAUCUCCCGGCUUAACUGGGAGCCUGCAGGCGAAACUGCCGUGCUGGAGUGUGGGAGAGGUGCGUGGAAUUCCCGGUGUAGCGGUGAAAUGC